CUUAGCCAAGAGGUAAGGCAAUUGACUGCAACUCAGUGAGCGCCGGUUCAAAUCCGGCA
Molecule: transfer RNA, 59 nt
Filed under: bovine gut metagenome
Rfam family: tRNA
About the family: Transfer RNA (tRNA) molecules are approximately 80 nucleotides in length. Their secondary structure includes four short double-helical elements and three loops (D, anti-codon, and T loops).
Source: RNAcentral